CGCAACCCCUACUUGUUAGUUGCCAUCAUUCAGUUGGGCGACUCUAGCGAGACUGCCGGUAAUAAACCGGAGGAAGGUGGGGAGUGACGUCAAAUCAUCAUGCCCCUUAUGACCUGGGCUACACACGUGCUACAAUGGUUGGUACAACGAGUUGCGAGUCGGUGACGGCGAGCUAAUCUCUUAAAGCCAAUCUCAGUUCGGAUUGUAGGCUGCAACUCGCCUACAUGAAGUCGGAAUCGCUAGUAAUCGCGGAUCAGCACGCCGCGGUCGAAUACGUUCCCGGGCCUU
Molecule: ribosomal RNA, 288 nt
Filed under: uncultured Streptococcus sp.
Lineage: Bacteria; Bacillati; Bacillota; Bacilli; Lactobacillales; Streptococcaceae
Description: partial 16S ribosomal RNA
Rfam family: Bacterial small subunit ribosomal RNA
Source: RNAcentral